AUCCAGUGAGCUAGCUACUCUAGCUUGACAGCAGUAGACUAGCUAGAUAUAUACAUGAAUUAGUACACAAGAUCUGGCAUGAUACGUACGUACGUUCUUGUUUGCUACUUUGCUGUAUGGAUGGAGUUAUGGAACAACUAAGGAGAUAACUGGAGAUGAAGGUCGAUAAAUGGAAUGCGUUGAUCUAAGUGACUAAGCUCUCUUUCUCUUUCUCACUCGUUGGCUUGCUAAAAAAAAGGAAUUUUUUAGUGUCUGCAGGUGAAUUGAAGCUGCAUUAAUUAGGUUUGGUGGAAUUUUCCUGUAGAGUGAGAUGUAUAUAGAUAUAGCUUCUGUAAAUACGAGGAACCCUAGUUUUUUUUUCCCUUUCGUUAUUUCUUCUUCUAUGAGAGCCCAUGCCACAUUAUUUUUAUAUUCUAGUCAUUUCCUCCUCCUCUUCCUCUUCUUCUUCUAACAAAGCUCCAUUCUGCGCGUUGUUUUUAUGCUUGAGCAGUAGGGAUGAGGUGGGUGAGGUUGUUUAUUGCGGUGCUUCUGUUGCUUCACAUCUUGAUUGGGUCCCAAGGUUUUGCUAGAGAAAUCAGGAAAGGUCAUAGGAAGAAGACAUCGAUAUCGAUAUCGGCGACGACGAAGACGAUGAGGAA
Molecule: long non-coding RNA, 638 nt
Filed under: Zostera marina
Lineage: Eukaryota; Viridiplantae; Streptophyta; Magnoliopsida; Alismatales; Zosteraceae
Description: long non-coding RNA (ZMAR_LNC001733)
Source: RNAcentral